Molecule: ribosomal RNA, 464 nt
Filed under: uncultured bacterium
Lineage: Bacteria
Description: partial 16S ribosomal RNA
Rfam family: Bacterial small subunit ribosomal RNA
Source: RNAcentral
CCUACGGGAGGCAGCAGUAGGGAAUCUUCCACAAUGGACGAAAGUCUGAUGGAGCAACACCGCGUGAGUGAAGAAGGGUUUCGGCUCGUAAAGCUCUGUUGGUAGUGAAGAAAGAUAGAGGUAGUAACUGGCCUUGAUUUGACGGUAAUUACUUAGAAAGUCACGGCUAACUACGUGCCAGCAGCCGCGGUAAUACGUAGGUGGCAAGCGUUGUCCGGAUUUAUUGGGCGUAAAGCGUGUGCAGGCGGUUCAAUAAGUCUGAGGUGAAAGCCUGCGGCUCAACCGGAGAAUUGCAUCAGAAACUGUUGAACUUGGGUGCAGAAGAGGAGAGUGGAACUCCAGGUGUAGCGGUGGAAUGCGUGGAUAUAUGGAAGAACACCAGUGGCGAAGGCGGCUCUCUGGUCUGCAACUGACGCUGAGGCUCGAAAGCAUGGGUAGCGAACAGGAUUAGAUACCCGAGUAGU